This 499-nucleotide ribosomal RNA is filed under the name uncultured bacterium. RNAcentral describes it as "bacterial SSU rRNA". It matches the Rfam family "Bacterial small subunit ribosomal RNA", at positions 899 to 1397 of the family's 1533-position model. The record is from RNAcentral.
ACUCAAAGGAAUUGACGGGGGCCCGCACAAGCAGUGGAGUAUGUGGCUUAAUUCGACGCCACGCGAAAAACCUUACCAAGGCUUGACAUCCUACUGACGAAGUAGAGAUACAUUAGGUGCCCUUCGGGGAAAGUAGAGACAGGUGGUGCAUGGUUGUCGUCAGCUCGUGUCGUGAGAUGUUGGGUUAAGUCCCGCAACGAGCGCAACCCUUACGGUUAGUUGCUACAUUUAGUUGAGCACUCUAGCCGGACUGCCGUUGAUAAAACGGAGGAAGGUGGGGACGACGUCAAAUCAUCAUGCCCUUUAUGUCUUGGGCUGCACACGUACUACAAUGGCGGUUAACAACGGGACGCGAAAUAGCGAUAUGGAGCAAAUCCCCAAAAACCGCCUCAGUUCAGAUUGUAGGCUGAAACCCGCCUGCAUGAAGUCGGAAUUGCUAGUAAUCGCGAAUCAGCAUGUCGCGGUGAAUACGUUCCCGGGCCUUGUACACACCGCCCGU